AUGUCCACUACUUCAACCUGCGCAUUAUGUGGGGCAGAUGACUCGUGGAUGCACUCACUCCUCCUCUAUUCCAUGGCUCGAUGCGUGUGGGCGCUAUCUGAUGCGGAGCUCGUGGAACAUAUGCUAGCUACAGCCGAGUUAGACCCGAAAAAUUUGAUCUUUGCAAUGUCAGAAUCAGUAUCACAUGUGGAGUUCACUACACUGGUGGUGACGUUAUGGGCGAUCUGGAACGCACGCUGGAAGAAACCCAGCACACUAUCGCAUGCACCGGUAGUACACAGGACUUGGAUCCCACCUCCAGUCGGGCAUCACAAACUUAACGUAGAUGCGACAGUGGACUAGCACAUGCACACAUGCGCCAUAUCUACGGUGUGCUGCGAUGAUGCAGGUCUAUAUGUGGGUUCGUCAGCUCUUGUAUUAGAUGGCUUGACGUAUCCUACGAUUCUAGAAGCGCUUGCUUGUCGGGAGUCUCUAGCCCUGGCAAAGGACCUCAUGCUACAUCAACCGAGGAUUGCUUCGGAUUGCAAAACGGUGGUGACUGAUAUUCAUAGCAGCACGAAGGGGCCAAUUGCACCAAUAGUUCAUGGAAUUGUCUACUUCGAGUGA
This 606-nucleotide ribosomal RNA is filed under the name Triticum aestivum (bread wheat). RNAcentral describes it as "partial small subunit ribosomal RNA". The record is from RNAcentral. Lineage: Eukaryota; Viridiplantae; Streptophyta; Magnoliopsida; Poales; Poaceae.